UUCGAUUGAUGAAACUGGUUGGACCGCUUUGGGUAAUGCUUUCAUGUUAUUGUUGUUGUUAGUGCCUCUCUCUGGUACUGCUUCAUGGUUCCUCAAUGGGAGUAGUGACUUGGAUCCUACAGAGGUUGGAGUCAAAGCUGCACCUCCAGCCAUUGUUUUAUCAAAUUUCAACUGAGAUUUUGUGAGGAGUUUAUGGGUGUUAAGUAAGGAGAUUAUGGUGAAUUAUUAUAUGGUAGAGACACCAAAAGAAUGAUUGCGAAGAGUAGGAGAUUGUUAAGUUGUCAUCAAAAUUGUGAUUAAUAGUUAACAAAUUAAGUUUCUGGCAGCCUACUUCUCAACAUGAAGAUGAUUCAUGACAAUUGUCUUCUUGAACAGAGUAAUAAUGUUUUUAAACAUCUUGUAACUAUUUACAACCUACUUUGAUAGGGUAUGGCAGAGUUUAUAGAUAUUUUUCUCUGUAGCUUCAACUUGGGCCACGUGAGAGGAACGUGUCAAAGAGUCAAUUUCAACUUUUUAUAAUGAUUAUUGAUGAAAGUGAGAAUCAUAAAAGCAAUACGACACAGAAGACGCAACAUUUGACAGAAUAAUAAUGCAACAAAAGCUGAGUGGUCUCUGUGGACGUUAGACUAAACUAGUAUUGUAUUGAGGGCUUAAAGUAAGCUAGCCACUAAUCUUGAACUUAGUUUUGUCACUUUGCUCUGUCUCGGCCUGCGUCAUCAGUCCAUACAAAAUCUAUGAAUUGAUAGUUUUAUUUUAUCUCUCUUACUCGCUUACGUCACGGCUCUCAUCACAGAAACCUUUGAACACACGUCUUUUGACUGACAAAAAGAUCCGUACAACCAAGACAUGAAUACUUUUAUCAAACAAAACAACAAAACGCCUCCAGAGAUUGCAGCAACUACACACUCGACAGGCUCUUUUUUUAUCAUCAUCAGAGAGGGUUUAAUCAUUGCCAUCUCUCCACAAGCACCAAACGUUAUGUCGAUCAUUCAAUCACUAUGCUAAGGAGACACAGAGCAUUUCAAGACUUGAAGAAGCUUCUUUAGAACCGAGUGUAAUAGCUAUUUCUUAUCCACAAGUCUUCUCAGGCUUUUGUAAUGUGAGUCUCUGUGCCACUAGGAGAAAGAGAUCCAUCUUUAGUCUCAACAAUCUCUAUGCUUGCGGUUCUGCUCUUUCUGUUCCUCCUCUCCUGCCAACACAUGAAGAUAUUGUUUGAUUAUUACAAAUGCGGAAACAUAUAAACUAUUUGCUGCAUCUUUGGAUCAUCAUACCUGUCCAAAAGGGUGUUCUUCGGAUUCAAGCAUCCGCACAACCUGACUCAUUCUAGGACGUUUCUCUGCUUCAGGAUCAACACAUCUAAGUGAAACCAAAAGUGCACGUUUCAGAGCACUCUUACUUGGCCUAGGUUCAAGUCUUGGAUCAACAACUUCUUCGGCUCUUCUUGUUCCAACCAUCAUCUUCAGCCAUUCAACAAGAUUCACCUGCCAAUACACAGACUCAAAUCAAUAUCUUUUACAAAAACAACAAAAGCAAAACCAAUUAUGUAAGCCUAACCUCAUUAGCAGGACGUCCAUAAUCAACCGGAUCUCGUCCAGUUACAGCUUCAAGAAGCAAAACACCAAAGCUAUAUAUAUCACUCUUUUCAUUUAACAACCCUGAGUUAGCAUAUUCUGGCGCUACAUAUCUGAAAAAAAUAAUCAAAAAAUAAAGCAAUGAUUUCUUCUGUAAGGACAUUAAUAAUUAACCAUUAUGGCCUCAAUAGAGUACAAAGCUUUUUGGACAUUACCCAAAGGUUCCCAUGACUCUGGUAGUGAUGUGACUCUCACCAGAGUCCAAGAGCUUGGCUAACCCAAAGUCAGAGAGCUUUGCAUUAAACUCAUCAUCAAUUAAUAUAUUGCUUGCUUUUAUAUCUCUAUGGACCACUUUUGGUUCUAUUGCUUCAUGUAAGUAAGCAAGCCUGUAAAGUUGCAGACCACUUUAAUUAUUGAAGCAAUUCAAUAAAAGCUUAUACAGAUUCAAAACCACUUACGCUUGUGCAGUACCGAUAAGGAUCUUCAUCCUUGCCUCCCAAGUGAGGCUUCCAUGUUGCCUCAUAGCUCCGUGUAACCAUUGCUCUAAGUUACCACUAUUCACAUACUCAUAAACAAGCAUCCUGCGUUCAUAACCAUAAUUAGAACACAGUAAAGAUCAUUCUCAUCUGGUAAAGUGUCAAAAUGAUAAAAAGACAAGAGAGAGAGACUCACCGAUGAACUCCCUCUAUGCAAUAUCCUAAAAGCCUAACGAGAUUCUUGUGUCGUACAUGACCAAUAGCCUCAACUUCUACCCUGAACUCCUUCUCAGCUUGUCCUCUACAGACCAAAAUUUAGAAUGAGAUUGUAAAGAAAACGAAUCAUUUUGCAAUCCAAUUGACAACUUACAGAUUGUUAAAAAGCUUCUUCACAGCAACCUCAGUACCAUUGGCGAGUUUACCCUUAUAAACAACUCCAUAACCACCCUCUCCAAUCACAUUCUCAGCAGAGAAACGGUCCGUGGCAAGCUCAAGAUCCCUAAGAGUAAACCAAUGUCCCCAACCAAGAUGAGAUAUCUCCGGUAAACCAACCAAAGGAGACGCUGUCACAAGCCCUCCUCCUCCGUACUGUCUCCCAACGCUUCCAAAGCCUGCUUCAUCACCGGAAUGAGAACUACAAGCCCUCUCAUGGUGGUUAUUCACAGAGCUGCAUCUACUCAGAGUAUCAUUAUCACUAGACUUGGUUCUCGCCAAGUGAGACAUCAUCGUGGACUUGUUGUCAUUCAUUGCUAUAUAUAAACUCUCGGGUUGAGGGUUGUUGUGGCUCUGAAACCCUGCCGCCCUGUCGACUCUGAUGUCUUUGGACACGUGUGGUAUUUGGUUGAAAGAUCUUCUAGACUUGCGGCGGAAUGUGAUCCAGAGAGACAAGAUGCAGAGAAUCAUCACUAUGAACACUCCAACUACUAAACAAACCCAUACCCAUAGCUUCAGACCCUUCAGACCAAAAAAUGAUAUCUUCUUGGACAUCUCAGCGUUUAAAGAACUCUCGGAUGCCAUCUUCCACUUGCCAAAACUGUCUUUUUUUUUUGCUUCUCGUACAAGUUCACUGUAAUAACAACCAAGACAACAACAACAACAGUGUCUCAGAUUUAAACACUUUCAUACAUCAUACAAUGACUAUCAGAGACUCACACUUUCACAGAAACAGUUGAUAAAAAUGCAAACUUUCAUGGUAAGUUCAUUAAUUGAAUUUUGCGGCAUAUCAACAAACAUGUUAUGGGCAUUACGUGUCCCCACCAAAGAUGGGAGCUUUUUUAAACCAGAGAAAAGGCAUCACUUAAGUUUGAAGCAAGAGACAAAUUUGAAGAGAAUCAAACAGAUAAUGUUAUAUAAAUAAAAACAUUCAGGUUGGAAAAAAAAACGUUUUUUUCUUUCUCAUGAAACAAAGAAGAGAGCAUAAAUCUUUACCUUAGAAUGUGGGGUUUCUCUUUUGAUUUAAACAAUGGCAAUAACAGCAAAAAGGCUCCAUUUUUAUUUCCCUUUUUGGAGAAAAACAGAGAGAAAGGGAAGUAAACAGAGCAAAAUCCAACAAGAAAAAAAAAACAGAGUAUCUCAAAGAAGAAUAUAUAGAAAAUACAUAGUGAUGGAGAAAAGAAGUUUGGUGGGUCUGUAGUAAAGCUGGAGAGAAAGCUUUGUUUGCAAUGGAGGAAACAAGAGAGAGAGAGAGAGUAGUGUGAGCAGUGAAGGUGAAGGAAAGAUACUGGACUUGUCAACUGUGAGAUUUAUAGCUGGUUGAAAUAUUAAAAAAAAAAAAAUUUUACAAUUUUAAAAUAAUCAUUUAAAAAUUCAUAGAGAUAGGGGGCAAAGCACAGAAGAGGGAAUUCCCAAACACAGGCUUUGGAAUUUUAAGGUCAAUAUUAUUCUCACUCCUCAAUAUGUCUAUCUAUUUUUUCUUCAAGCUUGAUCCAGAUGAAACUUGUGGUUAUGUGCUCAUGUCUAAUGCUUAUGCUUCGUAUGGGCUGUUCGAAGAGGCGGUUGAGCAGAGGGUUUUGAUGAAGGAAAGACAAAUGGAGAAGGAAAUAGGGUGCAGUUCGAUUGAAGUAGAUUUCCAAGUUCAUGAGUUUGUUUCUUGCGGGAAAAGACACCCUAAAUCCUCAGAGAUUUACAGUUUACUUGGUGUUUUGAACUGGGACGCCUCUGCGUUAAACUCAGAAGUUGGCAAACAACUUUUGUCAUUAAAAGAUACUUAGGUAAUGGUUAUUACUGAUUUACCAUAAUGCAAUCAGUUAUCAUUUAGAUAAUCAUUAUGUUUUUAUAAGUUUUUUCUUUUUUACUGUUGCAGGUAUAAACUACAGAGGAAGAUUACUCUCUGUUCUUUCACCAAACUCAUGGUUUGAUCUUUGAUUCCAAGGUAAAUUAACUAUAUGGUACGUUGAUAUGAUGAACCAUGGAGAUAGGGUUAUGAUUAAGGUUUGGACAUGGCACGCUGCGCAGCCCCCCAGGAGUAGAUAUCAGAGCCCGAGUUUCCAUUAGUGAGCAGGUUCUGAGGCAGUCCAUGAAUGUCAUCUAAGGGACGGGAUCUUCCGUUCUGGUAGUAUUGCUGGUUGUGCAUAGAAGCAGCUUCAUCAUCAUCCAGAGGAAGACGAUCAAACACAGCGUUCAUGAAAGAUGCAGCCAUGAGAACAACGGGACCAGAUGCGAUUAGCCCACCAACCACUCCUCCACCCACAACCUGGCCUUGAGGGCCGGCUAAGUAAAUGGUCAAACCAGUGAUCCCAAGCGGUGCUGGUGGAGGCAGGAUUGAUCCAAGCAACGAGAGGAUCUCGAAACGUCCGUGUAAUGUCACAAUACCUCCUGAUGAAGCUGGCUGCCUUAACGUCACAUUGUUGACGCAGCCGUUGGCACUUAGUAUGCAGAGACCUCUCUGUUUCCUUCUUGCGUAAUCCGAUAAAGUCUCGCAGAUGUCAUUACCUGAGCUGAUCUCAACGGCGUGAGCUCUGAGGGAAUUGGGACUGUCGUGAGUGACAAUGAUUGGUGGUUUGGGUUUGUUCUUGGAGCCAGCUGGUCUACCUCGCGGCCUCUUAGCCAUCUCUCCUUCGAUUGAUGAAACUGGUUGGACCGCUUUGGGUAAUGCUUUCAUGUUAUUGUUGUUGUUAGUGCCUCUCUCUGGUACUGCUUCAUGGUUCCUCAAUGGGAGUAGUGACUUGGAUCCUACAGAGGUUGGAGUCAAAGCUGCACCUCCAGCCAUUGUUUUAUCAAAUUUCAACUGAGAUUUUGUGAGGAGUUUAUGGGUGUUAAGUAAGGAGAUUAUGGUGAAUUAUUAUAUGGUAGAGACACCAAAAGAAUGAUUGCGAAGAGUAGGAGAUUGUUAAGUUGUCAUCAAAAUUGUGAUUAAUAAUUAACAAAUUAAGUUUCUGGCAGCCUACUUCUAAACAGAUGAUUCAUGACAAUUGUCUUCUUGAACAGAGCAAUAAUGUUUUUAACUAUUUACAACCUACUUUGAUAGGGUAUGCAGAGUUUAUAGAUAUUUUUCUCUGUAGCUUCAACUUGGGCCACGUGAGAGGAACGUGUCAAAGAGUCAAUUUCAACUUUUUAUAAUGAUUAUUGAUGAAAGUGAGAAUCAUAAAAGCAAUACGACAAAGAAGACGCAACAUUUGACAGAAUAAUAAUGCAACAAAAGCUAAGUGGUCUCUGUGGACGUUAGACUAAAACUAGUAUUGUAUUGAGGGCUUAAAGUAAGCUAGCCACUAAUCUUGAACUUAGUUUUGUCACUUUGCUCUGUCUCGGCCUGCGUCAUCAGUCCAUACAAAAUCUAUGAAUUGAUAGUUUUAUGUUUAUCUCUCUUGCUCGCUUACGUCACGGUUCUCAUCACAGAAACAUUUGAACACAUGUCUUUUGACUGACAAAAAGAUCCGUACAAACAAGACAUGAAUACUUUUAUCAAACAAAACAACAAAACGCCUCCAGAGAUUGCAGCAACUACACACUCGACAGGCUCCUUUUUGAUCAUUAUCAGAGAGGGUUUAAUUUAAUCAUUGCCAUCUCUCCACAAGCACCAAACGUUAUGUCGAUCAUUCAAUCACUUAUGCUAAGGAGACACAGAGCAUUUCAAGACUUGAAGAAGCUUCUUUAGAACCGAGUGUAAUAGCUAUUUCUUAUCCACAAAGUCUUCUCAGGCUUUUGUAAUGUGAGUCUCUAUGCCACUAGGAGAAAGAGAUCCAUCUUUAGUCUCAACAAUCUCUAUGCUUGCGGUUCUACUCUUUCUGUUCCUCCUCUCCUGACAACACAUGAAGAUAUUGUUUGAUUAUUACAAAUGCGGAAACAUAUAAACUAUUUGUUGCAUCUUUGGAUCAUCAUACCUGUCCAAAAGGGUGUUCUUCGGAUUCAAGCAUCCGCACAACUUGACUCAUCCUAGGACGUUUCUCUGCUUCAGGAUCAACACAUCUUAGAGAAACCAAAAGUGCACGUUUCAGAGCACUCUUACUCGGUCUAGGUUCAAGUCUUGGAUCAACAACUUCUUCAGCUCUUCUUGUUCCAACCAUCAUCUUCAGCCAUUCAACCAGAUUCACCUGCCAAUACACAGACUCAAAUCAAUAUCUUUUACAAAAACAACAAAAGCAAAACCAAUUAUGUAAGCCUAACCUCAUUAGCAGGACGUCCAUAAUCAACCGGAUCUCGUCCAGUUACAGCUUCAAGAAGCAAAACACCAAAGCUAUAUAUAUCACUCUUUUCAUUUAACAACCCUGAGUUAGCAUAUUCUGGCGCUACAUAUCUGAAAAAAAUAAUCAAAAAAUAAAGCAAUGAUUUCUUCUGUAAGGACAUUAAUAAUUAACCAUUAUGGCCUCAAUAGAGUACAAAGCUUUUUGGACAUUACCCAAAGGUUCCCAUGACUCUGGUAGUGAUGUGACUCUCACCAGAGUCCAAGAGCUUGGCUAACCCAAAGUCAGAGAGCUUUGCAUUAAACUCAUCAUCAAUUAAUAUAUUGCUUGCUUUUAUAUCUCUAUGGACCACUUUUGGUUCUAUUGCUUCAUGUAAGUAAGCAAGCCUGUAAAGUUGUACAAAAUUGCAGACCACUUUAAUUAAGCAAAUUCAAUAAAAAGGUUAUACAGAUUCAAAACCACUUACGCUUGUGCAGUACCGACAAGGAUCUUCAUCCGUGCCUCCCAAGUGAGGGUUCCAUGUUGCCUCAUAGCUCCAUGUAACCAUUGCUCUAAGUUACCACUAUUCACAUACUCAUAAACAAGCAUCCUGCGUUCAUCAUCAUCAUCAUCAUCAUCAUUAUAAUACAGUAAGUUGUUGUUGUUAGUGCCUCUCUCUGCUACUGCUUCAUGGUUCCUCAGUGGGAGUAGUGACUUGGAUCCUACAGAGGUUGGAGUCAAAGCUGCACCUCCAGCCAUUGUUAUCAAAUUUCAACUGAGAUUUUGUGAGGAGUUUAUGGGUGUUAAGUAAGGAGAUUAUGGUGAAUUAUUAUAUGGUAGAGACACCAAAAGAAUGAUUGUGAAGAGUAGGAGAUUGUUAAGUUGUCAUCAAAAUUGUGAUUAAUAAUUAACAAAUUAAGUUUCUGGCAGCCUACUUCUAAACAGAUGAUUCAUGACAAUUGUCUUCUUGAACAGAGCAAUAAUGUUUUUAACUAUUUACAACCUA
RNAcentral lists this long non-coding RNA (7651 nucleotides) under Brassica napus (rape). RNAcentral's name for it is "long non-coding RNA (BNAP_LNC003883)". Lineage: Eukaryota; Viridiplantae; Streptophyta; Magnoliopsida; Brassicales; Brassicaceae. The record is from RNAcentral.